GGAGAGAUGGCCGAGUGGUUUAAGGCAGCGGUCUUGAAAACCGCCGAAGGCUAACCCCUUCCGUGGGUUCGAAUCCCACUCUCUCCG
Molecule: transfer RNA, 87 nt
Filed under: Arenimonas composti TR7-09 = DSM 18010
Lineage: Bacteria; Pseudomonadati; Pseudomonadota; Gammaproteobacteria; Lysobacterales; Lysobacteraceae
Rfam family: tRNA
About the family: Transfer RNA (tRNA) molecules are approximately 80 nucleotides in length. Their secondary structure includes four short double-helical elements and three loops (D, anti-codon, and T loops).
Source: Rfam by way of RNAcentral